UUUUAAUGAUGAUUUAAUUCAAAAAAAAGCACAUUUGUUAGAACAGAAUAAAAAGUGUGUUGAAUUAUGUUACUUUCUGAAACG
RNAcentral lists this small nucleolar RNA (84 nucleotides) under Plasmodium gaboni. RNAcentral describes it as "small nucleolar RNA snoR06". Lineage: Eukaryota; Apicomplexa; Aconoidasida; Haemosporida; Plasmodiidae. The record is from RNAcentral.